CGGCGGACGGGUGAGUAACGCGUGGGUAACCUGCCCUGUACACACGGAUAACAUACCGAAAGGUAUGCUAAUACGGGAUAACAUAAGAAAUUCGCAUGUUUUUCUUAUCAAAGCUCCGGCGGUACAGGAUGGACCCGCGUCUGAUUAGCUAGUUGGUGAGGUAAUGGCUCACCAAGGCGACGAUCAGUAGCCGACCUGAGAGGGUGAUCGGCCACAUUGGAACUGAGACACGGUCCAAACUCCUACGGGAGGCAGCAUG
This 259-nucleotide ribosomal RNA is filed under the name uncultured bacterium. Its description in RNAcentral is "partial 16S ribosomal RNA". It matches the Rfam family "Bacterial small subunit ribosomal RNA", at positions 96 to 353 of the family's 1533-position model. The record is from RNAcentral.